UAUCCUGGCUCAGAUUGAACGCUGGCGGCAGGCCUAACACAUGCAAGUCGAGCGGUAGAGAGAAGCUUGCUUCUCUUGAGAGCGGCGGACGGGUGAGUAAUGCCUAGGAAUCUGCCUGGUAGUGGGGGAUAACGUUCGGAAACGGACGCUAAUACCGCAUACGUCCUACGGGAGAAAGCAGGGGACCUUCGGGCCUUGCGCUAUCAGAUGAGCCUAGGUCGGAUUAGCUAGUUGGUGGGGUAAUGGCUCACCAAGGCGACGAUCCGUAACUGGUCUGAGAGGAUGAUCAGUCACACUGGAACUGAGACACGGUCCAGACUCCUACGGGAGGCAGCAGUGGGGAAUAUUGGACAAUGGGCGAAAGCCUGAUCCAGCCAUGCCGCGUGUGUGAAGAAGGUCUUCGGAUUGUAAAGCACUUUAAGUUGGGAGGAAGGGCAGUAAAUUAAUACUUUGCUGUUUUGACGUUACCGACAGAAUAAGCACCGGCUAACUCUGUG
Molecule: ribosomal RNA, 497 nt
Filed under: uncultured Pseudomonas sp.
Lineage: Bacteria; Pseudomonadati; Pseudomonadota; Gammaproteobacteria; Pseudomonadales; Pseudomonadaceae
Description: bacterial SSU rRNA
Rfam family: Bacterial small subunit ribosomal RNA
Source: RNAcentral